Apis cerana (Asiatic honeybee) is the source of this 3061-nucleotide RNA transcript. It is a transcript of the gene named UNC93-like protein, with no coding region annotated. NCBI's taxonomy places the organism in Eukaryota, Metazoa, Arthropoda, Insecta, Hymenoptera, Apidae. The record is from RefSeq and is a predicted model, not a curated record.
ACUGGAUUUAUUGUUACAUCAUUAAACAAAUUGAUAUUUGGUGUUAUUAAUUGUAUGAGAAUAAGAAUGAUAGUUGCUAAUUCAUUCAUAGAUGAAGAACCAUGACGAACGUUGGUCAAUACUACAACACAACUGUAGAAAAAUAUAGGUAACCGGCAAAUAAACAGAUGGAAGGUGAAAGAGCAAAGAAGGAAUUUCAACGAUGAUAACAAUCAUAUAUUUUUUUGGCAAUGAUUUCCUCCGAAACUGAAAAAGUGUUUAAACGAAUUUAAAGAGAUAAAUCUAACGAACUAGAGCGAAAAAAGGGCAAGAAAUUACGACCAUGGGCUCUCUGCCAAAUUUACACGAAUUGUCAAAGGAUAAACUCGAAAGUCCUGCUUAUAGACCGGCUCCGAUCGGUGGUUUAGGACCCAUACGACUGCCAGCUCAGCCUCCGCCGUUAGCACAUACUCAUAGACGCGCUAGAAGCAGUGGUCAUCAUCAUACCUUGUGGGACAAUGAUGCUAUGCUCGAGCAUAUGGCAGCAUAUUCCCCGAUUUCCUGCCGAUCAACACGAACGUCGGCAUUGUCAUGGCGUCGACGAGACUCGAUGAACUCAUCUGCAGGAGCAUCAUCUGUUCGACGGCUGAUCGCUGCGGUGAGGACAGCUCCUUCCGGUCCAAGACCUCCGAAAAAAGUGAUUUUGAGGCAUUGUGCUGCUCUUCUCUUUGGACACGCGAGCUGUUCAGCUGCUAUGCUGCCCAUGUUCCCGUUACAAGCUGGCCUCGGUACUUUCAAUCUUCAUCUCGGACCGAUGUUGCUCGCUCUUCUUUAUGCAACUGCGACGAUUACUAGUUGCUUUGCGCCAAUUCUCGUGCAAAGAUUUGGAACUAAUCUUGCAAUAAGCACUAGUCAUAUGGCCACCACCGUUUUCGUUGGAUUACAUUUAUAUCCAAAAUGGUACAUACUAUUACCUAGUUAUGCAAUGUUAGGCGCUUGUAUAAGUCCAAGUUUCAUAGCAAGAGUUUCACACAUAAACACUUCAGCGACAAGUUUAGCUUUGGUAUGUGUCGAUCCCGAGGAUCCUGAUGAAACAAGACGCGAGUGCCUUCUGAGAAGACUUAAUCGAGCAAUUAAAUUAGCAGAAGACAUGGGUCUCGCACUGGGUUGUUUAAUCGCUGCCGUACUUGUAAAACUAAUAGAUUCAAAACCUCUCAAUACAAUAAGCAGUGAAAUAAACGACAUGUGCGGAGCAGAAUAUUGUCCGGAGGAAAUUUAUCUUUAUAAUGGCACAACUAAUUUAUCGACAUUAUCAUCUGGUACAUCAAAAAUAUUGGUCAGCAUAUGGUUAGGUCUUGCUGUUCUAGGCUUAAGUAUAUCGUGCGCUUUUCUCGACUCCAGAAUGAAAGAACCGCAGAGUGUAAAUGAAAAGCAUAGUAUACAAAAUAUUCUCGCGUCUGUGAAAGCUGCAUUUCUGGAUCCUAAGUUACAGCUGGCUGCACCAUUAACACUUUUUAUCGGACUUGAACAGGGUUUUAUCUAUGCCGAUUUUAUAGAAGCAUAUGUAGUUUGUGCUUUGGGAGGAGCUAGCACUGUAACUAUCAGUUUUUUAGCUUUAGCUUCUUUACAAGCUCUCGCUGGUGUCACUUUAUCAAUGUUAUUAAGGCACAUUAAAAGAUAUUUCGUUGUAGUUGUAGGAUUUGUAUUUCACGCAUGUUUAUUGUUGGUUUUAACUACCUGGAGACCAUCCGGAGAUGAUCCAGCACUUUUUCACGUUAUAUCUGCUGCCUGGGGAGUUUGUAACUCCAUUUGGGAGACUUUAAUAUACACAUUAGUAUUAGGUUUAUAUCCAAAUUCUUGGCAAGGACCUUUAUCAACGUCUCUCUUUUGGAAAUAUCUUGGUCUCGCCCUCACUCUUGGCUUACAUGGAUUGGUCUGUACACGAUUUCGAGUACUUGGUCUUUCCGGUGUGCUACUUCUUUCAGUGCUUCCUUAUGGAUGGUUAGAAAUUAGAUUGGCAAAAAGAGGAAAAAGCUUGGCACCAUUGUGACUGGGAGAUCCAUCUACAAAUGAUCAUAGAUCAAGUAUCAAAACAGAAGCUCGUUAUAAAGAUUGAGAUAAGUUCGUUCCAUUCGGCUUAAGAAGGACAAGAAGACAUAAUAGAAGCAGAAAUCCUUUCAUGGAACAUGCUUCAAAUAUUGCAAAGUUACGCACACGAAGAAGAGCAAACAGUGUUGCUUUUGCUUGUAAUAUUGAACAAAAUAUAACAGCAAAAGAUAUUGAACCGCAACCUUCUUCAUCUGCAAAUGAUCAUCGAAUUUUAAGAUAAAAAAGUUGUAAACUAAAGAACUUUAAAUACAAAUUAACACAUGUUAUCUUGAAUAAUUGUUAUAAAAUGAAACAUCAACACAACGUUUGAUGAUAAUUUAUAUAGCGCAGACAGAUAUUUAUAUGAAAUAUUUCCCAAUUGAUAAAACCAAUGGGAAAUACAAAUAGCCGGACUAUUUGUAAAUUUUUCAUGAAAAAUUUUCAAAUGCAAAGUCACUCUUCUUGUUGCCAUAAUUUCCAAUAUGUAUGACUGAUAAUAAUUUGUAUUAAUAUGAUAAAAUGCAUUCAAACAAAACAUAACCAGCAUAAAAAUUAAUUCAUAUAAUAUCAUGUUUGUAUGUAUAUCGAUAUAUUUUGCAAUCUGAUAAUAAACUAUAUACUUAUAAGAUUCAUAUAUAAGCAGCGAUAUAAAAAAAAGAAACUUUGAAAAGUUUUGAUGGAAAAUGCAAGAAGAAAAGAAUAUUGUUGAUUGUUACACAAACUAGGACAAGAAACAGCACUUUCAAAAUGAAGUAUCUAAUAUCAAAAUUUUCAGCAAUAAACUUGCUCAUUUUGAUUUCGAUGUAAGAAAAGAUAUUUCUAAAUAUUUGACCUGAAUUUAUAAAUUUAAUUAUGGUCAAUUCUAUUUUAAAAAAAGAAAUAAAUGGAAGUAAAAUGUUCGUGUCCUAGUAUAUAAAAGCAUGGAUUUAUAAAUGAUAUUGAAAAGGCAUAAAUUAAUUGUAUUUCAUGAAAUAAUAAAUAUUAUCUUAUUUUA